Molecule: ribosomal RNA, 254 nt
Filed under: uncultured bacterium
Lineage: Bacteria
Description: partial 16S ribosomal RNA
Rfam family: Bacterial small subunit ribosomal RNA
Source: RNAcentral
UACAGAGGGGGCAAGCGUUAUUCGGAAUUAUUGGGCGUAAAGGGCGCGUAGGCGGCCAUUCAAGUGACGGGUGAAAGCCCUCGGCUUAACCGAGGAACUGCCUGUCAGACUGGAUGGCUUGAGACCGGGAGAGGUGAGUGGAAUUCCCAGUGUAGCGGUGAAAUGCGUAGAUAUUGGGAGGAACACCAGUGGCGAAGGCGGCAUCCUGGACCAACACUGACGCUGAGUGAGCGAAAGCCAGGGGAGCAAACGGG